AUGGACCGCUCGGACACGCCGGCUCCGCCGCGCCCACCUGACGACUGCCCGCUACAUCUUGUUAGCC
This 67-nucleotide small RNA is filed under the name Xanthomonas pisi. RNAcentral describes it as "sX9 sRNA". It matches the Rfam family "Xanthomonas sRNA sX9". The record is from RNAcentral. Lineage: Bacteria; Pseudomonadati; Pseudomonadota; Gammaproteobacteria; Lysobacterales; Lysobacteraceae. RNAcentral also lists the same sequence under 1 other name.